CGACGAUUCCGAUUUAUCGGAAUAGUGGCAAACGGGUGAGUAACACGUAAGUAACCUGCCCCUAAGUAAAGGAUAACUCUGAGAAAUUGGAGCUAAUACUGUAUGUGGUCCUUCAUUGCAAGGUGAAGGACUAAAGCCUACGGGCGCUUGGGGAGGGGCUUGCGUCCGAUUAGCUUGUUGGUAAGGUAAUGGCCUACCAAGGCAACGAUCGGUAGCUGGUUUAAGAGGACGGUCAGCCACACUGGGACUGAGACACGGCCCAGACUCCUACGGGAGGCAGCAGCAAGGAAUAUUGUGCAAUGGGCGAAAGCCUGACACAGCGACACCGCGUGGGGGAUGAAGGCCUUCGGGUCGUAAACCCCUUUUCCCAGAGAAGAAAAAUGACGGUACCUGGGGAAUAAGUCCUGGCUAACUACGUGCCAGCAGCCGCGGUAAGACGUAGAAGGCAAGCGUUAUCCGGAUUUAUUGGGCGUAAAGAGGGUGUAGGCGGUUCUUCAAGUCGGAUGUAAAAUCUCCCGGCUCAACUGGGAGGGAUUAUUCGAUACUGUUGGGCUAGAGUGCAGCAGGGGGAGAUGGAAUUCCCGGUGUAGUGGUGAAAUGCGUAGAUAUCGGGAGGAACACCAGUGGCGAAGGCGGUCUCCUGGGCUGUUACUGACGCUGAGACCCGAAAGCGUGGGGAGCGAACAGGAUUAGAUACCCUGGUAGUCCACGCAGUAAACGAUGGACACU
RNAcentral lists this ribosomal RNA (729 nucleotides) under uncultured bacterium. Its description in RNAcentral is "bacterial SSU rRNA". It matches the Rfam family "Bacterial small subunit ribosomal RNA", at positions 64 to 817 of the family's 1533-position model. The record is from RNAcentral.